GUGGGGAAUCUUCCGCAAUGGACGAAAGUCUGACGGAGCAACGCCGCGUGAGUGAAGAAGGUUUUCGGAUCGUAAAGCUCUUUCGUUAGGGACGAACGUGCUCUUUGUGAAUAAUGAGGAGUAAUGACGGUACCUAAAUAAGAAGCCACGGCUAACUACGUGCCAGCAGCCGCGGUGAUACGUAGGUGGCAAGCGUUGUCCGGAAUUAUUGGGCGUAAAGCGCGCGCAGGCGGGAUAUCAAGUCUGUCUUAAAAGUGCGAGGCUCAACCUCGUGAGGGGACAGAAACUGGUAUUCUUGAGUGUCGGAGAGGAAAGUGGAAUUCCUAGUGUAGCGGUGAAAUGCGUAGAUAUUAGGAAGAACACCAGUGGCGAAGGCGACUUUCUGGACGAAAACUGACGCUGAGGCGCGAAAGCCAGGGGAGCGAACGGGAUUAGAUACCCUUGUAGUCC
Molecule: ribosomal RNA, 450 nt
Filed under: uncultured bacterium
Lineage: Bacteria
Description: partial 16S ribosomal RNA
Rfam family: Bacterial small subunit ribosomal RNA
Source: RNAcentral